RNAcentral lists this ribosomal RNA (464 nucleotides) under Paenibacillus silvae. RNAcentral's name for it is "bacterial SSU rRNA". It matches the Rfam family "Bacterial small subunit ribosomal RNA", at positions 103 to 553 of the family's 1533-position model. The record is from RNAcentral. Lineage: Bacteria; Bacillati; Bacillota; Bacilli; Caryophanales; Paenibacillaceae.
CGGGUGAGUAACACGUAGGCAACCUGCCCUCAAGCUUGGGACAACUACCGGAAACGGUAGCUAAUACCGAAUACUUGUUUUCUUCGCCUGAAGGAAACUGGAAAGACGGAGCAAUCUGUCACUUGGGGAUGGGCCUGCGGCGCAUUAGCUAGUUGGUGAGGUAACGGCUCACCAAGGCGACGAUGCGUAGCCGACCUGAGAGGGUGAUCGGCCACACUGGGACUGAGACACGGCCCAGACUCCUACGGGAGGCAGCAGUAGGGAAUCUUCCGCAAUGGGCGAAAGCCUGACGGAGCAAUGCCGCGUGAGUGAUGAAGGUUUUCGGAUCGUAAAGCUCUGUUGCCAGGGAAGAACGCUUGGGAGAGUAACUGCUCUCAAGGUGACGGUACCUGAGAAGAAAGCCCCGGCUAACUACGUGCCAGCAGCCGCGGUAAUACGUAGGGGGCAAGCGUUGUCCGGAAUUA